Molecule: ribosomal RNA, 338 nt
Filed under: uncultured bacterium
Lineage: Bacteria
Description: bacterial SSU rRNA
Rfam family: Bacterial small subunit ribosomal RNA
Source: RNAcentral
ACUCCUACGGGAGGCAGCAGUGGGGAAUAUUGCACAAUGGGGGAAACCCUGAUGCAGCCAUGCCGCGUGUGUGAAGAAGGCCUUGGGUUGUAAAGCACUUUCAGUAGGGAGGAAGGUAGUGUAGUUAACACCUGCAUUAUUUGUACGUUACCUACAGAAGAAGCACCGGCUAACUCCGUGCCAGCAGCCGCGGUAAGUACGGAGGGUGCGAGCGUUAAUACGGAAUUACGUGGGCGUAAAGCGCAUGCAGGCGGCCUGUUAAGUCAGAUGUGAAAGCCCGGGGCUUAACCUCGGAAUUGCAUUUGAAACUGGCAGGCUAGAGUCUGUAGAGGGGUUAG